GUUCAUUUUCUCAGCAGAAGCAAACACCCAGGGUUGUUCCCCAGGAUGGUUGAGAUUAAUGGGAAGCUGUUAUUGGCACUCCUCUGUGCCAGACACUUUGCAUGAAGCCAAAAAAAACUGUGAGGUGGAAGGAGCUCAUUUGGUGAUUUUUGACAAUGACACUGAAGAGAAACUUAUCAGCAUCAUCAGCAAUACCACAUGGAUUGGCUUGAGUGGUCAACAAAACAUUUCUACUGGCUCAGUGACUUGGACAUUGGUUGAUGGACACUCACUGACCUAUGGUUACUUGCAGAUUCAUCUGCAAAGAUGGUGCAAAAGGCUUCACUGCUGUGCAUCUGUUUACGGGAAUAAAUGGUUUCUGCACCCUUGCCAUGAACAACGCCAAUGGAUUUGUGAGAAAGAACUGUAAUAAUUUUUUGUACUAACCACCGGUGACCACGAGAGGGCAGUAUUUUAUGAUGAACAACUUAACCUCUGUACCGUUCAAGUUAGUAAAACAUACUUCAUGACAGUGAAAGCAAGG
This is a long non-coding RNA of Mugil cephalus (flathead mullet), 523 nucleotides long. RefSeq lists it as uncharacterized. The transcript has 3 exons. NCBI's taxonomy places the organism in Eukaryota, Metazoa, Chordata, Actinopteri, Mugiliformes, Mugilidae. The record is from RefSeq and is a predicted model, not a curated record.